GAUGAACGCUGGCGGCGUGCCUAACACAUGCAAGUCGAACGGAGUCCCGCCUUUAAGAUCUUCGGGUCGAAGGGGGGAAGAGUGAGUGACGGACGGGUGAGUAACACGUGGGCAACCUGGCUCAUAGAGGGGGAUAACAGAGAGAAAUUUCUGCUAAUACCGCAUAAGCACACACUGCCGCAUGUCAGAGGGUGAAAAGAGCAUCGCUAUGAGAUGGACCCGCGUCUGAGUAGCCAGUUGGCAGGGUAAGAGCCUACCAAAGCGACGAUCAGUAGCCGAUCUGAGGGGAUGCACCGCCACGUUGGGACUGAGACACGGACUACACUCCUACGCGAGGGAGCAGUGGAGGAUAUUGCAGAAUGGAGGGAAAGCUGAUGCCGCCACGUCGCGUGAGUGAACAAUCAUUUCGGUAUGCAAAGCUGUCUCAGCAGGGAAGAGAAUGACGGUACCUGAAUAAGAAGCCCCGGCUAACUACGUG
This 478-nucleotide ribosomal RNA is filed under the name uncultured bacterium. Its description in RNAcentral is "partial 16S ribosomal RNA". It matches the Rfam family "Bacterial small subunit ribosomal RNA", at positions 28 to 507 of the family's 1533-position model. The record is from RNAcentral.